UAUUCAAAAUUCAGAAGAAUUACGCGAGGGGGCCCUAAAACCAGUUAGAAAAAGCCCGGGCCCGCUUACGGAAAGUAGAAAUAGAAGCGAAUCAGUUUCGAAUGACUGGAUACUCUGAAAUAGAGUCGAGAAAAAUUAAAUUUGAUUAAUGCAACUUCUAAGACUUUGGAACAGUUAGAAAAUUACAAAAAAUGAAACCAUUCAUUUUGAACAACAAAGAGCAAUUAAUCAAGUUCGACAACGGGUUUUUCAACAAGCCUUACAGGGGGCUUUAGGAACUCUCAAUAGUUGUUUGAACAACGAAUUACAUUUACGUACCAUCAGUACUAAUAUUGGCAUGUUUGGAACGGUGAAAGAAAUAACGGAUUAGUCCUUCUACUGCAGGCAUUAUUUUUUUCUUUCAAAAAAAAAAGAAAUACUCAUGGUAACCCUUCGAGCAGAUGAAAUUAGUAAUAUUAUCCGCGAACGUAUUGAGUCAAUAUAACCGAGAGGUAAAGGUUUUAAAUACGGGUACUGUGCUUCAAGUAGGAGACGGCAUUGCUCGUAUUUAUGGUCUUGAUGAAGUAAUGGCGGGUGAAUUAGUAGAAUUUGAAGAGGGUACGAUAGGAAUUGCUCUGAAUUUGGAAUCAAAUAAGUGUUGGUGUUGUAUUAAUGGGUGACGGUUUGAUGAUACAAGAGGGGAGUUCUGUAAAAGCAACGGGAAGAAUUGCUCAGAUCCCAGUAAGCGAGGCGUUUUUAGGUCGUGUUGUAAAUGCACUGGCUAAACCUAUCGAUGGUCGGGGUGAAAUUUCAUCCUCUGAAUCCCGGUUAAUUGAGUCUCCUGCUCCUGGUAUUAUUUCGAGACGUUCCGUAUACGAGCCCCUUCAAACAGGACUUAUUGCUAUUGAUUCGAUGAUCCCUAUAGGGCGCGGCCAGCGGGAAUUGAUUAUUGGGGACAGACAGACCGGUAAAACAGCAGUAGCUACAGAUACGAUUCUCAAUCAACAAGGGCAAAAUGUAAUAUGUGUUUAUGUAGCGAUUGGUCAAAAAGCAUCGUCUGUGGCUCAGGUGGUGACUGCUUUACAGGAAAGGGGGGCAAUGGAAUACACUAUU
Fragaria vesca subsp. vesca is the source of this 1092-nucleotide RNA transcript. It is a transcript of the gene named ATP synthase subunit alpha, chloroplastic-like, with no coding region annotated. The transcript has a single exon. The record is from RefSeq and is a predicted model, not a curated record. Lineage: Eukaryota; Viridiplantae; Streptophyta; Magnoliopsida; Rosales; Rosaceae. The annotation marks the transcript as partial.